UAGUAUUGGUAGCCUCACUGUAAAUGCUUGCAAAGUAUGAGUGAAUGCUGUAGAAAUCACAGUGGAGUCAAAAGCUUGUGCUUCUCCUGUGGUUGUCUUAUUUCGUACCUGCUGCAUUA
Oryctolagus cuniculus (rabbit) is the source of this 119-nucleotide small nucleolar RNA. Lineage: Eukaryota; Metazoa; Chordata; Mammalia; Lagomorpha; Leporidae. The record is from Ensembl.